RNAcentral lists this ribosomal RNA (421 nucleotides) under Salmonella enterica. Its description in RNAcentral is "bacterial SSU rRNA". It matches the Rfam family "Bacterial small subunit ribosomal RNA", at positions 1 to 418 of the family's 1533-position model. The record is from RNAcentral. Lineage: Bacteria; Pseudomonadati; Pseudomonadota; Gammaproteobacteria; Enterobacterales; Enterobacteriaceae.
AAAUUGAAGAGUUUGAUCAUGGCUCAGAUUGAACGCUGGCGGCAGGCCUAACACAUGCAAGUCGAACGGUAACAGGAAGCAGCUUGCUGCUUUGCUGACGAGUGGCGGACGGGUGAGUAAUGUCUGGGAAACUGCCUGAUGGAGGGGGAUAACUACUGGAAACGGUGGCUAAUACCGCAUAACGUCGCAAGACCAAAGAGGGGGGCCUUCGGGCCUCUUGCCAUCAGAUGUGCCCAGAUGGGAUUAGCUAGUUGGUGAGGUAACGGCUCACCAAGGCGACGAUCCCUAGCUGGUCUGAGAGGAUGACCAGCCACACUGGAACUGAGACACGGUCCAGACUCCUACGGGAGGCAGCAGUGGGGAAUAUUGCACAAUGGGCGCAAGCCUGAUGCAGCCAUGCCGCGUGUAUGAAGAAGGCCUU